Molecule: ribosomal RNA, 460 nt
Filed under: uncultured bacterium
Lineage: Bacteria
Description: partial 16S ribosomal RNA
Rfam family: Bacterial small subunit ribosomal RNA
Source: RNAcentral
CCUACGGGAGGCAGCAGUGAGGAAUAUUGGUCAAUGGGCGCUAGCCUGAACCAGCCAAGUCGCGUGAAGGAUGACUGCCCUAUGGGUUGUAAACUUCUUUUAUAUGGGAAUAAAGUGCAGUAUGUAUACUGCUUUGCAUGUACCUUAUGAAUAAGGAUCGGCUAACUCCGUGCCAGCAGCCGCGGUAAUACGGAGGAUCCGAGCGUUAUCCGGAUUUAUUGGGUUUAAAGGGAGCGUAGGCGGGUGGUUAAGUCAGUUGUGAAAGUUUGCGGCUCAACCGUAAAAUUGCAGGUGAUACUGGCAGCCUUGAGUACAGUAGAGGUAGGCGGAAUUCGUGGUGUAGCGGUGAAAUGCUUAGAUAUCACGAAGAACUCCGAUUGCGAAGGCAGCCUGCUGGACUGUAACUGACGCUGAUGCUCGAAAGUGUGGGUAUCAAACAGGAUUAGAUACCCCAGUAGUC